This is a long non-coding RNA of Microcebus murinus (gray mouse lemur), 574 nucleotides long. RefSeq lists it as uncharacterized. NCBI's taxonomy places the organism in Eukaryota, Metazoa, Chordata, Mammalia, Primates, Cheirogaleidae. The record is from RefSeq and is a predicted model, not a curated record.
UCACCCUGAGCCCCUUAUUCAAUUGAUAAAGGUGAUGCAGCCAUCCUCACUUCUGAUUACUGUACAAGAGCUUUAUACUGUGGGAUGAGGAUGUGAAAUGCUUGCUAUUCCAGGAACCUCCAGAUUGAGAGGGAAGAGGAAACAGGCACAGGAACAACGAUGAAGUUGUAAGGACUGCAGUUCUUAGAGCUGGCCUUUAAGCAUUGACAAACACAUCAGCUAUUUGAAAAAGCAACCCCAGAACACAACAGCCAAACCAAACAGAUCCAGGAGGCUCAGCAUACCCAUUCUUCUCUUCUAGAAGCUCCCAAGUGCUCAUACACACCCAUUUGCAUUUAAAUCUGGUGACAUCCAAACGAAGAAAGCCCAGGAAGAAUCUCUAACGGUGAAGGCAGUGCAUGAAAGGAAGCAGAGCUGAGGAUAAAGCCAAGACAGAAAGAACCUCAGGAAACUGAGCCCCUGGAUUUAGUCACACAUGAAGCUAGCCUUACGCUUGGACUUCACCAAUCACAGGAGUCACUAUGUUUCCUAUGUUAGAAUCUAGUGCUGCCAUUUACUGGCUAUGUGACCUUGG